RNAcentral lists this ribosomal RNA (306 nucleotides) under Triticum aestivum (bread wheat). RNAcentral's name for it is "partial small subunit ribosomal RNA". Lineage: Eukaryota; Viridiplantae; Streptophyta; Magnoliopsida; Poales; Poaceae. The record is from RNAcentral.
AUGGCCAACCCCGGUGCGGUAUUGUCUGAAUCCUCCAGCUCCACGUCGCCGCUCGUAUUCAAAAAGCUCACCCCGGCCAAGAUGGACGACCGGCGCGCCAAAGGCCUUUGCUUCAACUGUGACGAUAAGUUUGUUCGGGGCCAUCACUGCAAACGUCUUUUCUACAUCCAGUCAGCAGACGACGAAGAAGAGCCACUAGCGGAUUUCCAGGAGGCCACAAUCUCGCUUCUUGCUGUCACAGGGAUUCCCACCAGCGACACCAUGCAGGUCGCUCUUUGUGUCGGGGAUCGUGACCUCGUCGCCUAG